UACGUAGGGUGCAAGCGUUGUCCGGAAUUAUUGGGCGUAAAGAGCUCGUAGGCGGUCCGUCGCGUCUGCCGUGAAAACCCGGGGCUCAACCCCGGGCCUGCGGUGGAUACGGGCGGACUAGAGUCCGGUAGGGGAGACUGGAAUUCCUGGUGUAGCGGUGAAAUGCGCAGAGAUCAGGAGGAACACCGAUGGCGAAGGCAGGUCUCUGGGCCGGUACUGACGCUGAGGAGCGAAAGCGUGGGGAGCGAACAGG
RNAcentral lists this ribosomal RNA (253 nucleotides) under uncultured bacterium. RNAcentral's name for it is "partial 16S ribosomal RNA". It matches the Rfam family "Bacterial small subunit ribosomal RNA", at positions 524 to 776 of the family's 1533-position model. The record is from RNAcentral.